RNAcentral lists this ribosomal RNA (508 nucleotides) under uncultured bacterium. RNAcentral describes it as "partial 16S ribosomal RNA". It matches the Rfam family "Bacterial small subunit ribosomal RNA", at positions 28 to 507 of the family's 1533-position model. The record is from RNAcentral.
GACGAACGCUGGCGGCGUGCCUAAUACAUGCAAGUCGAACGCUUCUUUCCUCCCGAGUGCUUGCACUCCAUUGGAAAGCGGAGUGGCGGACGGGUGAGUAACACGUGGGUAACCUACCCAUCAGAGGGGGAUAACACUUGGAAACAGGUGCUAAUACCGCAUAACAGUUUAUGCCGCAUGGCAUAAGAGUGAAAGGCGCUUUCGGGUGUCGCUGAUGGAUGGACCCGCGGUGCAUUAGCUAGUUGGUGAGGUAACGGCUCACCAAGGCCAAGAUGCAUAGCCGACCUGAGAGGGGGAUCGGCCACCCUGGGACUGAGACACGGCCCAGACUCCUACGGGAGGCAGCAGUAGGGAAUCUUCGGCAAUGGACGAAAGUCUGACCGAGCAACGCCGCGUGAGUGAAGAAGGUUUUCGGAUCGUAAAACUCUGUUGUUAGAGAAGAACAAGGACGUUAGUAACUGAACGUCCCCCGACGGUAUCUAACCAGAAAGCCACGGCUAACUACGUG